AACUGAUACUACCUGCGGGAACCUGCGGAAGGAUCAUUAUUGAAUUAUGUUUCUAAAUGGGUUGUAGCUGGCUCGUCAGAGCAUGUGCACGCCUGUUUGGACUUCAUUUUCAUCCACCUGUGCACCUAUUGUAGUCUUUGGUUGGGUAUCGAGGAAGUGGUCAGCCUAUCAGCACUUGCUGGAUGUGAGGACUUGCAGUGUGAAAGCUUUGCUGUCCUUUACUUGAUCAUGGAGCUGUCU
RNAcentral lists this unclassified non-coding RNA (240 nucleotides) under soil metagenome. RNAcentral describes it as "partial contains 5.8S ribosomal RNA, internal transcribed spacer 2, and large subunit ribosomal RNA". The record is from RNAcentral.